Molecule: ribosomal RNA, 253 nt
Filed under: uncultured bacterium
Lineage: Bacteria
Description: partial 16S ribosomal RNA
Rfam family: Bacterial small subunit ribosomal RNA
Source: RNAcentral
UACGUAGGGAGCAAGCGUUGUCCGGAUUUACUGGGCAUAAAGCGCGCGUAGGCGGAAGCUUAAGUGUGGCCUGAAAGCCCCCGGCUCAACCGGGGAGGGUGGCUGCAAACUGGGCUUCUUGAGGGGGAUAGAGGAAGGUGGAAUUCCGGGUGUAGCGGUGAAAUGCGUAGAGAUCCGGAGGAACACCAGUGGCGAAGGCGGCCUUCUAGGUCCGCCCUGACGCUGAGGCGCGAAAGCGUGGGGAGCGAACGGG